Molecule: ribosomal RNA, 435 nt
Filed under: uncultured bacterium
Lineage: Bacteria
Description: partial 16S ribosomal RNA
Rfam family: Bacterial small subunit ribosomal RNA
Source: RNAcentral
AGCGAACGCUGGCGGCAGGCUUAACACAUGCAAGUCGAGCGGGCAUAGCAAUAUGUCAGCGGCAGACGGGUGAGUAACGCGUGGGAACGUACCUUUUGGUUCGGAACAACACAGGGAAACUUGUGCUAAUACCGGAUAAGCCCUUACGGGGAAAGAUUUAUCGCCGAAAGAUCGGCCCGCGUCUGAUUAGCUAGUUGGUGAGGUAAUGGCUCACCAAGGCGACGAUCAGUAGCUGGUCUGAGAGGAUGAUCAGCCACAUUGGGACUGAGACACGGCCCAAACUCCUACGGGAGGCAGCAGUGGGGAAUAUUGGACAAUGGGCGCAAGCCUGAUCCAGCCAUGCCGCGUGAGUGAUGAAGGCCGUAGGGUUGUAAAGCUCUUUUGUGCGGGAAGAUAAUGACGGUACCGCAAGAAUAAGCCCCGGCUAACUUCGUG